AUAAGAUUGUAGUAUCGCAUGAUAUAGCAAUUAAAGGAGCAAUCCGCUAUAAGAUGGACCCGCGUCGCAUUAGCUAGUUGGUGAGGUAAUGGCUCACCAAGGCGACGAUGCGUAGCCGACCUGAGAGGGUGGUCGGCCACAUUGGGACUGAGACACGGCCCAGACUCCUACGGGAGGCAGCAUG
Molecule: ribosomal RNA, 184 nt
Filed under: uncultured bacterium
Lineage: Bacteria
Description: partial 16S ribosomal RNA
Rfam family: Bacterial small subunit ribosomal RNA
Source: RNAcentral